RNAcentral lists this long non-coding RNA (200 nucleotides) under Elaeis guineensis (African oil palm). RNAcentral's name for it is "long non-coding RNA (EGUI_LNC064678)". Lineage: Eukaryota; Viridiplantae; Streptophyta; Magnoliopsida; Arecales; Arecaceae. The record is from RNAcentral.
ACCAGCAGUGGAUACAAACUCAUGACCUAAUCUGAUUAGGUCAGCUUAAAGGCAUCAAUUAAUCAGAAUACCUUCUAAUUAAUUUUUAAAUUAAACUCUUUUAGUUCUUACAGGUCCACAAAUCAAGAUUAAUAUCUAACAAUAUAUCAUAACUAUCCAAAAGAUAUAAAAUUUUAUAAAAAUUAUUGAAAAAUAUAUCC